Molecule: ribosomal RNA, 503 nt
Filed under: uncultured bacterium
Lineage: Bacteria
Description: partial 16S ribosomal RNA
Rfam family: Bacterial small subunit ribosomal RNA
Source: RNAcentral
AUUGAACGCUGGCGGCAGGCUUAACACAUGCAAGUCGAGCGGGGUGAUGGUGCUUGCACUAUCACCCAGCGGCGGACGGGUGAGUAAUGCUUAGGAAUCUGCCUAUUAGUGGGGGACAACAUCUCGAAAGGGAUGCUAAUACCGCAUACGUCCUACGGGAGAAAGCAGGGGAUCACUUGUGACCUUGCGCUAAUAGAUGAGCCUAAGUCGGAUUAGCUAGUUGGUGGGGUAAAGGCCUACCAAGGCGACGAUCUGUAGCGGGUCUGAGAGGAUGAUCCGCCACACUGGGACUGAGACACGGCCCAGACUCCUACGGGAGGCAGCAGUGGGGAAUAUUGGACAAUGGGGGGAACCCUGAUCCAGCCAUGCCGCGUGUGUGAAGAAGGCCUUAUGGUUGUAAAGCACUUUAAGCGAGGAGGAGGCUCUUUUGGUAAAUACCCAAGAUGAGUGGACGUUACUCGCAGAAUAAGCACCGGCUAACUCUGUGCCAGCCGCCGCCGUAA